This 393-nucleotide ribosomal RNA is filed under the name uncultured bacterium. RNAcentral describes it as "partial 16S ribosomal RNA". It matches the Rfam family "Bacterial small subunit ribosomal RNA", at positions 523 to 918 of the family's 1533-position model. The record is from RNAcentral.
AUACGGAGGAUCCGAGCGUUAUCCGGAUUUAUUGGGUUUAAAGGGUGCGCAGGCGGGAGAUUAAGUCGGCGGUGAAAUUUUGGAGCUCAACUGUAAAAGAGCAUUUGAAAAUGGGUCCCUUGAGUGUAGCUGAAGUCGGGGGAAUUUGUGGUGUAGCGGUGAAAUGCAUAGAUAUCACGAGGAACUCCGAUUGCGCAGGCAGCUUACUAAACUACUACUGACGCUCAGGCACGAAGGCGUGGGGAUCAAACAGGAUUAGAUACCCUGGUAGUCCACGCAGUAAACGAUGAUUACUAGCUGUUUGCGAUACAAUGUAAGCGGCUGAGCGAAAGCGUUAAGUAAUCCACCUGGGGAGUACGUUCGCAAGAAUGAAACUCAAAUGAAUUGGCGGGG